This 439-nucleotide ribosomal RNA is filed under the name uncultured bacterium. RNAcentral describes it as "partial 16S ribosomal RNA". It matches the Rfam family "Bacterial small subunit ribosomal RNA", at positions 339 to 795 of the family's 1533-position model. The record is from RNAcentral.
CUACGGGAGGCUCCAGUGAGAAAUAUUGCACAAUGGGGGAACCCUGAUGCAGCAACGCCGCGUGGAGGAUGACGCAUUUCGGUGUGUAAACUCCUUUUAUAUGUCAAGAAAAUGACGGUAGCAUAUGAAUAAGCACCGGCUAACUCCGUGCCAGCAGCCGCGGUAAUACGGGAGGGUGCAAGCGUUACUCGGAAUCACUGGGCGUAAAGGACGCGUAGGCGGGUUGGAAAGUCAGGUGUGAAAUCCUACAGCUUAACUGUAGAACUGCACUUGAAACUUCUAAUCUAGAGUAUGGGAGGGGGAGAUGGAAUUAGUGGUGUAGGGGUAAAAUCCGUAGAUAUCACUAGGAAUACCUAAAGCGAAGGCGAUCUCCUGGAACAUUACUGACGCUAAGGCGUGAAAGCGUGGGGAGCAAACAGGAUUAGAUACCCUCGUAGUC